AUGGCUGUUGCUGUGCCGUCGACGCUGCCGAUGAAGCUUAGGAAGGUUGAGCUCCGUGGCAAGGCAGCGGCGACAGGGGUUGCCGGCCGCGCGCGCGUGCUGGUGACGGUUACCGUCCUCGGGAGCGCCGGCCCGCUACGGUUCUUGGUCGACGAGGGCGAGUCGGUCGACGGACUAAUCCGUGCUGCGCUCCGCUGCUAUGCCCGCGAGGGCCGCAUGCCGCUGCUCGGCUCCGACGCUGCCAACUUCCUCCUCUACACGGCCAAUGGCAGAUCCGACGCUCUCAAGUCCGAUGAGAGGAUCAGCUUCAAUGGAUGCAGGAGCUUCAUGCUCUGGCAGAAGACCGUCGCCGACAACCAUGGGUCUGAGCCGGCGGUGGCUACCACGGUUAAUUCCUGCCCAGGCAGGAAGGGGAUCAGCGGCUGGAAAUUUGGCCUGAACAAGAUCCUUCUCAACUUCAGCUUCAAGGAUCUUGUGAAUCAAAGAGGCCCUUACCCAACAUUGAGAAAACAAUCAUGUGUUUUGCGUCAAGGUCGUGGCUUCAGACAACCACAAAUAAAGAACAAUCAUGUGUUGUGCGUUAAGGUCGUGGCUUCAGAAAACCACAAAUAA
This 612-nucleotide ribosomal RNA is filed under the name Triticum aestivum (bread wheat). RNAcentral's name for it is "partial small subunit ribosomal RNA". Lineage: Eukaryota; Viridiplantae; Streptophyta; Magnoliopsida; Poales; Poaceae. The record is from RNAcentral.